CAGUGAAUCAUCGAAUCUCCGAACGCACAUGGCGCCCCUUGGCAUUCCUUGGGGCAUGCCUGUUCGAGCGUCACU
RNAcentral lists this ribosomal RNA (75 nucleotides) under Tuber dryophilum. Its description in RNAcentral is "partial 5.8S ribosomal RNA". It matches the Rfam family "5.8S ribosomal RNA", at positions 82 to 154 of the family's 154-position model. From Rfam's summary of the family: 5.8S ribosomal RNA (5.8S rRNA) is a component of the large subunit of the eukaryotic ribosome. It is transcribed by RNA polymerase I as part of the 45S precursor that also contains 18S and 28S rRNA. Functionally, it is thought that 5.8S rRNA may be involved in ribosome translocation. The record is from RNAcentral. Lineage: Eukaryota; Fungi; Ascomycota; Pezizomycetes; Pezizales; Tuberaceae.